RNAcentral lists this unclassified non-coding RNA (199 nucleotides) under soil metagenome. RNAcentral's name for it is "partial contains 5.8S ribosomal RNA, internal transcribed spacer 2, and large subunit ribosomal RNA". The record is from RNAcentral.
AACGGUCUAUACCUGCGGUACCUGCGGAAGGAUCAUUAUCAAUUUACAGCGGACUUCGGUCCUGUCUGCACCCUUGUCUUUUGCGUACUAUAUGUUUCCUCGGUGGGCUUGCCUGCCGAUAGGACACUUAUAAACUCUUUUGUAAUUGCAAUCAGCGUCAGAAAACUAUAAUAGUUACAACUUUCAGCAACGGAUCUCU